RNAcentral lists this ribosomal RNA (456 nucleotides) under Triticum aestivum (bread wheat). Its description in RNAcentral is "partial small subunit ribosomal RNA". Lineage: Eukaryota; Viridiplantae; Streptophyta; Magnoliopsida; Poales; Poaceae. The record is from RNAcentral.
AUGUACUCCAUAGCAUGGGCCAUUGUGGAGAAGGAGACUUACCCGUCAUGGUUUUGGUUCCUUGCAAAGCUCAAUAAAGAUUUGAAGAUCAAGAAUGAGGGUGAUGGCUGGGUGUUUAUGUCGGAUCAACAGAAGGGCCUGAUUGGUGCUAUAGAGGAUAUUUUCCCUAAGUCAGAGCAUAGGAUGUGUGCAAGGCACAUAUAUGCAAACAGGAGAAAAAAGCACCCAGAUCAUGAUCUACAGAAGAGGUUUUGGAGGUGUGCUAAGUCUUCGAACAGAUCUAUAUUCAACUAUAAUAGAGCAAGACUUGCACAGUUUACUGUUGAAGGUGCAAAGGACAUGAUGAAUACUGCUCCAGAGCAUUGGUGUAGGGCAUACAUGAAGCUAGGCUCCAACUACGACUCAGUGGAUAAUAACAUGUGUGAGUCCUUUAAUAGGACUUUCUGGGCUAACUAG